GUAGUCCACGCCGUAAACGAUGAGCACUAGUUAUUGGGGGUAUUGACUCCCUCAGUGACGCAGCUAACGCAUUAAGUGCUCCGCCUGGGGAGUACGGUCGCAAGACUAAAACUCAAACAAAUUGACGGGGGCCCGCACAAGCGGUGGAUUAUGUGGUUUAAUUCGAAGCAACGCGCAGAACCUUACCUAGGCUUGAACUCCUACGAACCCGUUGUAAUGGACGGGGUGUCCGCAAGGAAAUGUAGUGAGAGGUGCUGCAUGGCUGUCGUCAGCUCGUGUUGUGAAAUGUUGGGUUAAGUCUCGCAACGAGCGCAACCCCUAUCGUCUGUUGCCAGCAUUAAGUUGGGCACUCUGACGAGACUGCCUGGGUUAACCAGGA
Molecule: ribosomal RNA, 379 nt
Filed under: uncultured bacterium
Lineage: Bacteria
Description: bacterial SSU rRNA
Rfam family: Bacterial small subunit ribosomal RNA
Source: RNAcentral